UAUUAACAUGAGACACAGUGAUGGUGGGUUGUGUUUAGGAGUAGUAUUAACAUGAGACACAGUGAUGGUGGGUUGUGUUUAGGAGUAGUAUUAACAUGAGACAGUGAUGGUGGGUUGUGUUUAGGAGUAGUAUUAACAUGAGACACAGUGAUGGUGGGUUGUGUUUAGGAGUAGUAUUAACAUGAGACACAGUGAUGGUGGGUUGUGUUUAGGAGUAGUAUUAACAUGAGACACAGUGAUGGUGGGUUGUGUUUAGGAGUAGUAUUAACAUGAGACACAGUGAUGGUGGGUUGUGUUUAGGAGUAGUAUUAACAUGAGACAGUGAUGGUGGGUUGUGUUUAGGAGUAGUAUUAACAUGAGACACAGUGAUGGUGGGUUGUGUUUAGGAGUAGUAUUAACAUGAGACACAGUGAUGGUGGGUUGUGUUUAGGAGUAGUAUUAACAUGAGACACAGUGAUGGUGGGUUGUGUUUAGGAGUAGUAUUAACAUGAGACAGUGAUGGUGGGUUGUGUUUAGGAGUAGUAUUAACAUGAGACACAGUGAUGGUGGGUUGUGUUUAGGAGUAGUAUUAACAUGAGACACAGUGAUGGUGGGUUGUGUUUAGGAGUAGUAUUAACAUGAGACACAGUGAUGGUGGGUUGUGUUUAGGAGUAGUAUUAACAUGAGACACAGUGAUGGUGGGUUGUGUUUAGGAGUAGUAUUAACAUGAGACACAGUGAUGGUGGGUUGUGUUUAGGAGUAGUAUUAACAUGAGACACAGUGAUGGUGGGUUGUGUUUAGGAGUAGUAUUAACAUGAGACAGUGAUGGUGGGUUGUGUUUAGGAGUAGUAUUAACAUGAGACACAGUGAUGGUGGGUUGUGUUUAGGAGUAGUAUUAACAUGAGACACAGUGAUGGUGGGUUGUGUUUAGGAGUAGUAUUAACAUGAGACAGUGAUGGUGGGUUGUGUUUAGGAGUAGUAUUAACAUGAGACACAGUGAUGU
Oncorhynchus keta (chum salmon) is the source of this 982-nucleotide long non-coding RNA. RefSeq lists it as uncharacterized. The transcript is spliced from 3 exons. Lineage: Eukaryota; Metazoa; Chordata; Actinopteri; Salmoniformes; Salmonidae. The record is from RefSeq and is a predicted model, not a curated record.